CCGGACUUUCACACCUUGUCCUCAAGUGAAGUAUUGGAUGAGUUUGUGGCUAUGAGCAUCUUGGACAAGACCGCCGACAAUGCGGUUCUUCGCUCUCAAAGAGUUAAGAAGCCCAACCUUGCUCUAAAGGCCAAGGUUAGUAUGGAGGAAGAGGAUGAAGAGGAAGAAGAGGAGGGCAACCUCGAAGAUACGAAGUAUGCCUAUCAUGAACACAUGGCUCUUGCUUCAAGGCAAUUUUGGAGCAAUAAGAACACAAGGCCAAACUUCAACAAAAGCAACUCAAGUGGUGCAAAGGGCAAGCAACGGAUGAGGACUUGCUUCAAUUGUGGCAAUGUUAGCCACUUUGUUGCG
RNAcentral lists this ribosomal RNA (351 nucleotides) under Triticum aestivum (bread wheat). RNAcentral describes it as "partial small subunit ribosomal RNA". The record is from RNAcentral. Lineage: Eukaryota; Viridiplantae; Streptophyta; Magnoliopsida; Poales; Poaceae.